UACAGAGGGGGCAAGCGUUGUUCGGAAUUACUGGGCGUAAAGGGCGCGUAGGCGGCCUGUUAAGUCAGACGUGAAAUCCCUCGGCUCAACCGGGGAACUGCGUCUGAUACUGGCGGGCUUGAAUUCGGGAGAGGGAUGUGGAAUUCCAGGUGUAGCGGUGAAAUGCGUAGAUAUUCGCAAGAACACCAGUGGCGAAGGCGGCUCACUGGCCCGAUACUGACGCUGAGGUGCGAAAGCGUGGGGAGCAAACAGG
RNAcentral lists this ribosomal RNA (253 nucleotides) under uncultured bacterium. Its description in RNAcentral is "partial 16S ribosomal RNA". It matches the Rfam family "Bacterial small subunit ribosomal RNA", at positions 524 to 776 of the family's 1533-position model. The record is from RNAcentral.